This 254-nucleotide ribosomal RNA is filed under the name uncultured bacterium. RNAcentral's name for it is "partial 16S ribosomal RNA". It matches the Rfam family "Bacterial small subunit ribosomal RNA", at positions 524 to 776 of the family's 1533-position model. The record is from RNAcentral.
UACGGGGGGAGCAAGCGUUGUUCGGAUUUACUGGGCGUAAAGGGCGGGUAGGCGGCCACCGCAAGUCAGUUGUGAAAUCUCCGGGCUUAACCUGGAAAGGUCAACUGAUACUGCGGGGCUAGAGUGCAGAAGGGGCAACUGGAAUUCUCGGUGUAGCGGUGAAAUGCGUAGAUAUCGAGAGGAACACCUGCGGCGAAGGCGGGUUGCUGGGCUGACACUGACGCUGAACUGCGAAAGCUAGGGGAGCGAACGGG